CAGCCAACUAUGAUCACAUUCCAAUUCCAAAAACUGUGAAUCAAGCAUAGGGAUGGAAACUCUGGGGAUAGCAAACUGACAGCAGCAAAGGCUUUUGAAGAGAAACUCCAUAGAAGCAGCAACAUUUUUAGAGCACAAGGACUGAAGAUAGAGGGAGCUGUGUGAAGUACAUGGAAAGAAAGGGAUGCAAAUAAAGUUAUAAAUAGGAAGCCUGUCAAGAAAAAAGGAGGCAACAUUGAGAACUUCUUGGCUGAUUUGAAUAUUCAAAUCCAUCGUGCUUGGAGUAGCUUAAAAGUAGGGGAAUAUAGUCCACUCUGAUUACAUUUAUCAUUAAAUCAG
Neopelma chrysocephalum (saffron-crested tyrant-manakin) is the source of this 339-nucleotide long non-coding RNA. RefSeq lists it as uncharacterized. The record is from RefSeq and is a predicted model, not a curated record. The transcript is spliced from 3 exons. Lineage: Eukaryota; Metazoa; Chordata; Aves; Passeriformes; Pipridae.